GAUGGACGCUGGCGGCGUGCCUAAUACAUGCAAGUCGAGCGAACAGACGAGGAGCUUGCUCCUCUGACGUUAGCGGCGGACGGGUGAGUAACACGUGGAUAACCUACCUAUAAGACUGGGAUAACUUCGGGAAACCGGAGCUAAUACCGGAUAAUAUAUUGAACCGCAUGGUUCAAUAGUGAAAGACGGUUUUGCUGUCACUUAUAGAUGGAUCCGCGCCGCAUUAGCUAGUUGGUAAGGUAACGGCUUACCAAGGCAACGAUGCGUAGCCGACCUGAGAGGGUGAUCGGCCACACUGGAACUGAGCCACGGUCCAGACUCCUACGGGAGGCAGCAGUAGGGAAUCUUCCGCAAUGGGCGAAAGCCUGACGGAGCAACGCCGCGUGAGUGAUGAAGGUCUUCGGAUCGUAAAACUCUGUUAUUAGGGAAGAACAAAUGUGUAAGUAACUGUGCACGUCUUGACGGUACCUAAUCAGAAAGCCACGGCUAACUACGUG
Molecule: ribosomal RNA, 497 nt
Filed under: uncultured bacterium
Lineage: Bacteria
Description: partial 16S ribosomal RNA
Rfam family: Bacterial small subunit ribosomal RNA
Source: RNAcentral